GGAAAAUUCAUUUUUAAAGCUGGGCUUUUUUACAUAGUCUAAGCAGGCUAUAUCAAGGAAGAACAAUUAGAAAAUUAAUAAAAUCAGAGUCCUGUUUGAAUUUUGACUAUGAAAGUAAAUUCUUUGUUAGCUUAUGUCCCCCUUUGUGUCUUGAUUAUAAGAAUUGGGAAUAAUAAAAUAUUUCUGGACCUGUAUCCCUUUGGAGAAACCCUUCACCUUUUGAAAACAUCUAAGGAAGUUGGAGAACAGAAUUAUUUACUUCCACACUUGAAGGAAGAAGAAAGGCAAAAUCCUCACUCUGGGAUAGAUUUAUUUCUCAUCUGGGCUGUUUUAUCACCAUGCCUGAGAGCCACCCAAAUCCCAGAAGACAAUUGCCCCUGUAGACCACGUGAGUUAGCAGAGCUGACUUCUUCAGACCAUGGUUGGGAGAGUGAAGAGUUUGGGUGCUUCUUUUUUCUUUCUUUCAGCCCUAUAAACAUUUGAGCUAUUUGUGAGUGUUAUUUCCCCCUUUAGGACAAUGUGCUCCAGUUUGGGUUCUUUUUGCUUUGUUUACUCAAUAAUUGGUACAGCAAGAGGGAUGCACCUGUUCCACGGGCCCAUUAGACACAGAAUUGCUUCUCUCCGGAGCUGAGGCUGAGGCAUUCAGGCAAACCAAUCCAUCAGUUGGCAUUCAAAUUCACACUGCAGUGGAAAAGAGAGAAGGUUGGGGGAAGAUCAAGAUGCAAUCUGCCAGUC
RNAcentral lists this long non-coding RNA (735 nucleotides) under Monodelphis domestica (gray short-tailed opossum). RNAcentral's name for it is "lncRNA (ENSMODG00000048970.1)". Lineage: Eukaryota; Metazoa; Chordata; Mammalia; Didelphimorphia; Didelphidae. The record is from RNAcentral.